This 138-nucleotide small nucleolar RNA is filed under the name Ornithorhynchus anatinus (platypus). The record is from RNAcentral. Lineage: Eukaryota; Metazoa; Chordata; Mammalia; Monotremata; Ornithorhynchidae.
CUCCUCUCAGGGUCACACCUAGAGAGUUUCCAGUAUACUACCAGUCUCGACUAUGGGAGGGAGAGUCAAGCAGAGGCAUUCCCAUUCCAUUCCUAGUUUGGGCAGGAGCUAGCGAGUGGUAGGCAAUCUGCUACAAGU